GAAUUCACUAGUGAUUCAGGCCUAACACAUGCAAGUCGAACGAGGGUUAUCGGUUGAAGUUUUCGGACGGAAACUGAUAAUUCCUAGUGGCGGACGGGUGAGUAACGCGUGGGGAACCUGCCCCAUUCCGGGGGAUACCAGUUGGAAACGACUGUUAAUACCGCAUAAGCGCACAGCAUUGCAUGAUGCAGUGUGAAAAACUCCGGUGGAAUGGGAUGGCCCCGCGUCUGAUUAGCCAGUUGGCAGGGUAACGGCCUACCAAAGCGACGAUCAGUAGCCGGCCUGAGAGGGCGACCGGCCACAUUGGGACUGAGACACGGCCCAAACUCCUACGGGAGGCAGCAGUGGGGAAUAUUUCAAAGGGGGGGAAACCCUGAUGCAGCGA
RNAcentral lists this ribosomal RNA (385 nucleotides) under uncultured bacterium. Its description in RNAcentral is "bacterial SSU rRNA". It matches the Rfam family "Bacterial small subunit ribosomal RNA", at positions 46 to 392 of the family's 1533-position model. The record is from RNAcentral.